Molecule: microRNA, 24 nt
Filed under: Arabidopsis lyrata
Lineage: Eukaryota; Viridiplantae; Streptophyta; Magnoliopsida; Brassicales; Brassicaceae
Description: aly-miR1887
Source: miRBase by way of RNAcentral
CACUUAGAUUGUUCUUAGUAUGAG